GUAUAAGAGGUGAGGGAGGACAGUAGCACACAUCAGUUCUGUCACAAGUGUUCAACAUGAAGCUCGUGAGUCUAGUCUUGGCCCUCCUGCUGGCGCUGUCGGCGGUGCUCACCUCCGUCAACGCUGACCCCGUCGCCGACCCGGAGCCAUUCUUCUUGAAGUUCUUGAAGUUAAAGAAGGGUAAGAAAGGAGGCCACCGAGGACCUCCCGUCCAUGUUGUCUACCGUCCACCUCCUCCCCCCAAGGGCUACGGACAUCAAAGUGGCUACGGACGCUAGAGGAGCCACCAUCGGGCAGCUAGAAGAAGCUUCUUAGUCGUAGAAGAUUGUCGCAAGUUGUGUGAAUAUUCUUCAGCCUCUAGGUCACAACACCUGAGUCAUCUUACUCACCUGUACAGCCUCACCAUCAACACAACAGAUGACUUUACCACAACUAGACUGUCACUGCUCCUUACACUCUACCACAACUAGACUGUCACUCUUCCUUACACUCUACCACAACUAGACUGUCACUGCUCCUUACACUCUACCACAACUAGACUGUCACUGUUCCUUACACUCUACCACAACUAGUGUCACUGUUCCUUACACUGUUUCUUAUUGUACUUACUGUAAAUUCAAUAAUUGUACUUCAGAUUAUUUUAAGAAACAAAAUAAAGGUACAUUAAUUCUCA
This is a long non-coding RNA of Homarus americanus (American lobster), 673 nucleotides long. RefSeq lists it as uncharacterized. The record is from RefSeq and is a predicted model, not a curated record. Lineage: Eukaryota; Metazoa; Arthropoda; Malacostraca; Decapoda; Nephropidae. The transcript is spliced from 2 exons.